This is a long non-coding RNA of Myzus persicae (green peach aphid), 632 nucleotides long. RefSeq lists it as uncharacterized. The record is from RefSeq and is a predicted model, not a curated record. The transcript is spliced from 3 exons. Lineage: Eukaryota; Metazoa; Arthropoda; Insecta; Hemiptera; Aphididae.
UAGAUAAUAAUAUUACCUUUAAAUUUUAUAAUAGGUCAAUUCAUUCUAACAUCAAAACUAACAUCACACUAUUGGAUCUGUUGAACGAAAAUUUACUAUACGUAUCGUACGUGUGUAAGACGGAAACAACACAUGCGACGUCCUCUUAAUGGUAUAAUAUAAUAUAUCAUUUUCGAUAUUUUGGUUUACUAAGUACCAACCUUAAGGCCCCUCCUUUUCUUCCUAAAAUUUAAUUAUGAUUUUUACACACAUGACGGCGUUUUCGUAGCCUUCUUCAAGCCUGGCAAAUGCAAUGUUUACUUCCGUAGUCCACCAAAUUUGAGUACCGCACAACGAUACUUGAGCAGGAUAGUCGAACAACCACUGUUCUCUUGGUUUCUCUUCAUAGGAUAAGAGACACGCAUGUUGACCACAUAUUAUUUUAUGCAGUCGGACAUAAACCAUUUAUUGUUACUAAGUAUACUACGUAGUAGGUACUGUAGUAGCUUCUACGCUAUAAUACUGUUAAAUGCAGUGUACACAAUCACAAUAAUAAUAUUUGCAUCCACGAUGGUUGUAUUUUAAAAAUUCAAAUAUUUGUCAAAUUAAUUCAAUGAAAUCGAUGUUAGUACUUUUAAAUGCAUAUUUUUUAU